UCAUUACUCGUUGGAGACCUCAAGAUGCUUUCUGCUCUUGCAACUCGACAGCACCAAAUGCCCUGCAGAAGAAAUUACUAGCAAGCAAUUUCAGUUCAUAUUCCUUGUUUAUGCCAUCCGUGUAUAACUCAGGUAUAAGAGCUCCUUAUGUUGUCCUAUAAAUGAUUUUUUUUCAAACAAAUAAAUCUUACAACGUCUGCAUGCACAUAGUUAGGAGAUUGAUGCUCUUGUAAGACAGACGAGUGUUGGAAGAUCAUAAGACAGUCGAUUAAAUAUUUUAUAGUAUUUAUUCAUUUCUGGUCAGUAGGAUAAUGAUUUCUUCCCUUGAUUUCAUGCGGAAAAGCGAUGAAAUUCCGCCAGAAAUCAACUGUAAGUGAAACACUGCAUUCAAUCUGCCGUCUCAUAUUCUUUCUCAUGUAUUGUUCAUUGUUUUGAUCGCAUCAAUAUGAACACACGGUGUAUCAUCAGAACCCUAGACGGGUGAAUCUCUUAUGUUCAACGAUCCAUGAAUGAUACAGUGAACGCUGAAUAACCAGCAACCUGCCCACAAAAGGAAAACGAAAGGGUACCACAAGAUGAGUCCCUGGAAAUUUACUGCUCAUUCAUUAGCAUCAUUUUUUUGCAAGCUGAAUCUCGAUAGCAGCUGGUGCUGAGUUCAUACUGUCCAUGAAGUUCCCACUUGUUUUCUUCGUAG
This 694-nucleotide long non-coding RNA is filed under the name Spirodela polyrhiza (greater duckweed). RNAcentral describes it as "long non-coding RNA (SPOL_LNC001294)". Lineage: Eukaryota; Viridiplantae; Streptophyta; Magnoliopsida; Alismatales; Araceae. The record is from RNAcentral.